UACAGGGGGUGCAAACGUUGCUCGGAAUCACUGGGCAUAAAGCGCACGUAGGCGGCUUGGUAAGUGCGGUGUGAAAGCCCCCGGCCUAACCGGGGAACUGCAUCGCAGACUGCCAGGCUCGAGAGCGGUAGGGGAGACUGGAACUCCUGGUGGAGCGGUGAAAUGCGUAGAUAUCAGGAGGAACACCGGUGGUGAAAACGAGUCUCUGGUCCGCUUCUGACGCUCAGGUGCGAAAGCUAGGGGAGCAAACGGG
This 253-nucleotide ribosomal RNA is filed under the name uncultured bacterium. Its description in RNAcentral is "partial 16S ribosomal RNA". It matches the Rfam family "Bacterial small subunit ribosomal RNA", at positions 524 to 776 of the family's 1533-position model. The record is from RNAcentral.